AACGAACGCUGGCGGCAUGCCUAACACAUGCAAGUCGAACGAGACCUUCGGGUCUAGUGUCGCACGGGUGCGUAACGCGUGGGAACCUGCCCUUAGGUUCGGAAUAACUCCCCGAAAGGGGUGCUAAUACCGGAUAAUGUCUUCGGACCAACGAUUUAUCGCCUUUGGAUGGGCCCGCGUUGGAUUAGCUAGUUGGUAGGGUAAAAGCCUACCAAGGCGACGAUCCAUAGCUGGUCUGAGAGGAUGAUCAGCCACACUGGGACUGAGACACGGCCCAGACUACUACGGGAGGCAGCAGUGGGGAAUAUUGGACAAUGGGCGAAAGCCUGAUCCAGCAAUGCCGCGUGAGUGAUGAAGGCCUUAGGGUUGUAAAGCUCUUUUACCCGGGAUGAUAAUGACAGUACCGGGAGAAUAAGCUCCGGCUAACUCCGUG
RNAcentral lists this ribosomal RNA (433 nucleotides) under uncultured bacterium. Its description in RNAcentral is "partial 16S ribosomal RNA". It matches the Rfam family "Bacterial small subunit ribosomal RNA", at positions 29 to 507 of the family's 1533-position model. The record is from RNAcentral.